This is a non-coding RNA of Cricetulus griseus (Chinese hamster), 353 nucleotides long. NCBI's taxonomy places the organism in Eukaryota, Metazoa, Chordata, Mammalia, Rodentia, Cricetidae. The record is from RefSeq and is a predicted model, not a curated record.
AACUACAAGAAACCAGCCUGAGUGAAGUAACCCAGUCACAGAAAGAAAAACAUGGUAUGUACUCACUUUUAUAUGGAUAUUAGACAUAGAACAAAGGAUUACCAGCCUACAAUCUAUACUGCCAGAGAACCUAAGAAGGAAGGAGGACCUAAGGAAGAUACAUGGUCCCCCAGAGAAGGGGAAAGGAACAAGUGCUCCUGAAGAAAUUGGGAUCAUGGCAGAGAAGACAGGGGGAAUGAGAGUGGAUUUCAUUGACUCAUUUUCAUAUGUUGAAAAAUGUUGCUGGUUUUCUGAAGGUCUUCAUGUAAAGGAAUGCAAAUAGAUCCACGUUUAUCUUACUGCAAAAAACUCAA